RNAcentral lists this ribosomal RNA (1410 nucleotides) under Escherichia coli. RNAcentral describes it as "partial 23S ribosomal RNA". It matches the Rfam family "Bacterial large subunit ribosomal RNA", at positions 777 to 2167 of the family's 2925-position model. Lineage: Bacteria; Pseudomonadati; Pseudomonadota; Gammaproteobacteria; Enterobacterales; Enterobacteriaceae. The record is from RNAcentral.
AACCGACUAAUGUUGAAAAAUUAGCGGAUGACUUGUGGCUGGGGGUGAAAGGCCAAUCAAACCGGGAGAUAGCUGGUUCUCCCCGAAAGCUAUUUAGGUAGCGCCUCGUGAAUUCAUCUCCGGGGGUAGAGCACUGUUUCGGCAAGGGGGUCAUCCCGACUUACCAACCCGAUGCAAACUGCGAAUACCGGAGAAUGUUAUCACGGGAGACACACGGCGGGUGCUAACGUCCGUCGUGAAGAGGGAAACAACCCAGACCGCCAGCUAAGGUCCCAAAGUCAUGGUUAAGUGGGAAACGAUGUGGGAAGGCCCAGACAGCCAGGAUGUUGGCUUAGAAGCAGCCAUCAUUUAAAGAAAGCGUAAUAGCUCACUGGUCGAGUCGGCCUGCGCGGAAGAUGUAACGGGGCUAAACCAUGCACCGAAGCUGCGGCAGCGACGCUUAUGCGUUGUUGGGUAGGGGAGCGUUCUGUAAGCCUGUGAAGGUGUACUGUGAGGUAUGCUGGAGGUAUCAGAAGUGCGAAUGCUGACAUAAGUAACGAUAAAGCGGGUGAAAAGCCCGCUCGCCGGAAGACCAAGGGUUCCUGUCCAACGUUAAUCGGGGCAGGGUGAGUCGACCCCUAAGGCGAGGCCGAAAGGCGUAGUCGAUGGGAAACAGGUUAAUAUUCCUGUACUUGGUGUUACUGCGAAGGGGGGACGGAGAAGGCUAUGUUGGCCGGGCGACGGUUGUCCCGGUUUAAGCGUGUAGGCUGGUUUUCCAGGCAAAUCCGGAAAAUCAAGGCUGAGGCGUGAUGACGAGGCACUACGGUGCUGAAGCAACAAAUGCCCUGCUUCCAGGAAAAGCCUCUAAGCAUCAGGUAACAUCAAAUCGUACCCCAAACCGACACAGGUGGUCAGGUAGAGAAUACCAAGGCGCUUGAGAGAACUCGGGUGAAGGAACUAGGCAAAAUGGUGCCGUAACUUCGGGAGAAGGCACGCUGAUAUGUAGGUGAAGCGACUUGCUCGUGGAGCUGAAAUCAGUCGAAGAUACCAGCUGGCUGCAACUGUUUAUUAAAAACACAGCACUGUGCAAACACGAAAGUGGACGUAUACGGUGUGACGCCUGCCCGGUGCCGGAAGGUUAAUUGAUGGGGUUAGCGGUAACGCGAAGCUCUUGAUCGAAGCCCCGGUAAACGGCGGCCGUAACUAUAACGGUCCUAAGGUAGCGAAAUUCCUUGUCGGGUAAGUUCCGACCUGCACGAAUGGCGUAAUGAUGGCCAGGCUGUCUCCACCCGAGACUCAGUGAAAUUGAACUCGCUGUGAAGAUGCAGUGUACCCGCGGCAAGACGGAAAGACCCCGUGAACCUUUACUAUAGCUUGACACUGAACAUUGAGCCUUGAUGUGUAGGAUAGGUGGGAGGCUUUGAAGUGUGG